AUGGUGGGUGAACAAUCAACUGAAAUAGGCGCAAUUCUUUCCCUCUCUGCCAAAAAAUGUGAUAAGAGAAUCUUUCUUUGGUGCCUUCUUCUUCUUAACAACAUCUUAUCAGUUUUU
Caenorhabditis elegans is the source of this 117-nucleotide non-coding RNA. The record is from Ensembl. Lineage: Eukaryota; Metazoa; Nematoda; Chromadorea; Rhabditida; Rhabditidae.